Molecule: long non-coding RNA, 1215 nt
Organism: Carya illinoinensis
Lineage: Eukaryota; Viridiplantae; Streptophyta; Magnoliopsida; Fagales; Juglandaceae
Exons: 4
Source: RefSeq, a predicted model, not a curated record
UAUACCUGUUAAGAAAAAAAAAUUAAAAAAAAUAUAAAAACAUGUACAUGGUAUAAAGAUGAUAAAUAGAAUUUUUCUCACAUGCAAUAAGUAGAGCCUAACCCUUCCUAUACGUGCGGUCUCUCUGCAAGUCAAAUACCCCUCACAAACCUCUCUGUUUCUUUAUAGCCCAAUUUCCACGCACCCGAUCGAGUAGAUGAAGAAACGGCCAAGAAAAAUUGAAAAUGACUAGAUGAACAAACAAACAAAUUCUCAGGGAAUAUAAAAAUUUUAAAUAUUAAAACAAAAAGAAAGGAUAAUCAAAGUUGUCAAAUGACCAUUUACAUGAUUUCAAACCUCAUCGUCAGCUCCAGUAUCAUUGGUUUUCUUGUUUACAUAUCCAAUCAGCAAGAAAAAUUUACAUAAUUUCCUCAAGCCAACUCUCUCUCUCUCUCUCUCUCUCUCUCUCUCUCUCUGUGAGAAAUGUCUAAUGAACAUGAUCAUGGAUUUCACAUGGACAUGCCUCCUUCAGGAACCAGGCCGAAUGGUGGCAGGAGCAACCACAUGAUGAUGCACAUAAGCUUCUACUUGGGCAAAGAUGCUAUAGUCCUAUUCUCCAGAUGGCCCAACCAAAACCUCGGCAUAUCCAGCAACAGCUACAUACUCAGUUUCUUUUUCCAAGAGAGCAUUCUCCAAGGAACCAUCACCGCUUCUUGCUACCCUUUGUUCAUGAGCUUGAAGUGAUCCUAUUAGCUCAAUAACUGAUAGAAUUUGCAAGUCCUUUGACUCCUCAAUUGCUACGACAAUACGAUCAUACUUCUCAGAAUCGCUCAUACUCCCUUUGAAGUAUUGGCCCUCAUCAAUCUUGGAAAGAUUGAUUCAGAGACUGCCUGCUGUAGGAUAAAUAAAGUUCUUGCAUCCUUGGUGCUUUCUUGCUUGCUUUGAGUUGAACUCGAGAUUCCUUUUGGCAUUGUCACUUUUUUCCCACAACAUCCCAUAGAUCUUGAGAUAGGAAAGAGGUCUUCAUUUUAAUGCUCCAAUAAUCGUAGUUUUCACCAUUAAAAAUAGGAACUGAAGUUGUUGCACCAAAGGUAGCCAUUUUCAACCCUCAGAUGAACCUAUUUAAUUAGCUCUGAUUCCAAUUGUUAGUUUUAAACAAAGAAGCAAAUAGAGGAAAAACAAGGGAAAUAUUGAGAAACCUCAAUCCUUAAUCACGGACUGAUUCUGUUGUUCUAC